Molecule: ribosomal RNA, 301 nt
Filed under: uncultured bacterium
Lineage: Bacteria
Description: partial 16S ribosomal RNA
Rfam family: Bacterial small subunit ribosomal RNA
Source: RNAcentral
CAGUAGCCACGGUAAUACGUAGGUCCCGAGCGUUGUCCGGAUUUAUUGGGCGUAAAGGGAGCGCAGGCGGUUUAGUAAGUCUGAAGUUAAAGGCAUUGGCUCAACCAAUGUAUGCUUUGGAAACUGUUAGACUUGAGUGCAGAAGGGGAGAGUGGAAUUCCAUGUGUAGCGGUGAAAUGCGUAGAUAUAUGGAGGAACACCGGUGGCGAAAGCGGCUCUCUGGUCUGUCACUGACGCUGAGGCUCGAAAGCGUGGGUAGCGAACAGGAUUAGAUACCCCAGUAGUCCCUGUCUCUUAUACA